GGAGUCUAACAUGUGCGCGAGUCAUUGGGCGGCAAACCCAAAGGCGGAAUGAAAGUGAAGGGAGCCUUGGCUUUCCGAGGGAGGAUGGGCGCGUCUUGCCGUACACCCCGGCGGCGUCCCGCACUCCCGGGGCGUCUCUUUCUCAUUGCGAGUGGAGGCGCACCCAGAGCGUACACGUUAGGACCCGAAAGAUGGUGAACUAUGCCUGGUCAGGACGAAGCCAGGGGAAACCCUGGUGGAGGUCCGUAGCGAUUCUGACGUGCAAAUCGAUCGUCGGAGCUGGGUAUAGGGGCGAAAGACUAAUCGAACCAUCUAGUAGCUGGUUCCCCCCGAAGUUUCCCUCAGGAUAGCUGGUGCUCGUGAGCAGACGAGUCUCAUCCGGUAAAGCGAAUGAUUAGAGGCCUUGGGGCCGAAACGACCUCAACCUAUUCUCAAACUUUAAAUAGAUGAGAACUCCGGCUUGCUUAAAGAGUGAAGCCGGAGACUCGGAUCAGAGUGCCCAGUGGGCCAAUUUUG
This 516-nucleotide ribosomal RNA is filed under the name Ochterus marginatus. RNAcentral's name for it is "eukaryotic LSU rRNA". It matches the Rfam family "Eukaryotic large subunit ribosomal RNA", at positions 670 to 1139 of the family's 3401-position model. Lineage: Eukaryota; Metazoa; Arthropoda; Insecta; Hemiptera; Ochteridae. The record is from RNAcentral.